GCCAGCACUGACACUCCCCUGCAACUACCAGUUGGCAAACCCCUGAAAUUAAGCAGGUGUGAGCCUGGUCAGUACCUGGAUGAGAGAUCUGCUGGGAAAGCUAAGGUUGCUGCCG
RNAcentral lists this ribosomal RNA (115 nucleotides) under Lepisosteus oculatus (spotted gar). The record is from RNAcentral. Lineage: Eukaryota; Metazoa; Chordata; Actinopteri; Semionotiformes; Lepisosteidae.